GGAGGGGUGUCCGAGUGGUUAAAGGAGACGGACUGUAAAUCCGUUGGCUAUGCCUACGCUGGUUCGAAUCCAGCCCCCUCCACCA
RNAcentral lists this transfer RNA (85 nucleotides) under Chelativorans composti. RNAcentral's name for it is "tRNA-Tyr". It matches the Rfam family "tRNA". Rfam says of the family: Transfer RNA (tRNA) molecules are approximately 80 nucleotides in length. Their secondary structure includes four short double-helical elements and three loops (D, anti-codon, and T loops). Further hydrogen bonds mediate the characteristic L-shaped molecular structure. tRNAs have two regions of fundamental functional importance: the anti-codon, which is responsible for specific mRNA codon recognition, and the 3' end, to which the tRNAs corresponding amino acid is attached (by aminoacyl-tRNA synthetases). tRNAs cope with the degeneracy of the genetic code in two manners: having more than one tRNA (with a specific anti-codon) for a particular amino acid; and 'wobble' base-pairing, i.e. permitting non-standard base-pairing at the 3rd anti-codon position. The record is from RNAcentral. Lineage: Bacteria; Pseudomonadati; Pseudomonadota; Alphaproteobacteria; Hyphomicrobiales; Phyllobacteriaceae. RNAcentral also lists the same sequence under 17 other names.